GUGAGGAAUAUUGGUCAAUGGGCGGAAGCCUGAACCAGCCAUCCCGCGUGGAGGAAGACGGCCCUAUGGGUUGUAAACUUCUUUUCAAGGGGAAGAAAGUUCGCGACGUGUCGCGAUUUGCCGGUACCUUUGGAAUAAGCAUCGGCUAACUCCGUGCCAGCAGCCGCGGUAAUACGGAGGAUGCGAGCGUUAUCCGGAUUUAUUGGGUUUAAAGGGUGCGUAGGCCGAUCGAUAAGUCAGCGGUGAAAUACGAUGGCCUAACCAUGGAACUGCCGUUGAUACUGUCGGUGUGGAAUAUGGUCAAAGUAGGCGGAAUGUGUAAUGUAGCGGUGAAAUGCGUAGAUAUUACACAGAACACCGAUUGCGAAGGCAGCUUACUGGUCCAUUAUUGACGCUGAGGCACGAAAGCGUGGGGAGCGAACAGGAUUAGAAACCCCGGUAGUCC
Molecule: ribosomal RNA, 445 nt
Filed under: uncultured bacterium
Lineage: Bacteria
Description: partial 16S ribosomal RNA
Rfam family: Bacterial small subunit ribosomal RNA
Source: RNAcentral